This 160-nucleotide signal recognition particle RNA is filed under the name Chrysoculter rhomboideus. RNAcentral describes it as "partial Metazoan signal recognition particle RNA". The stretch from base 15 to 157 matches the Rfam family "Protozoan signal recognition particle RNA", at positions 77 to 216 of the family's 228-position model. Lineage: Eukaryota; Haptophyta. The record is from RNAcentral.
GUUUCGCUUGCCGAGGCUGUCUCUGUGAGAAGGUUCUGUAGCCGUUGGUUGCUCGUGGAGGCGGGCAACCUCUGGCGGUUAAAGCCCAGAGUACUGGUCGAGGCCCUCAAGGGAGCAGACAAAAUCUGGCGCAGAAGCUAGCCACGAGAUCGCAGCCGAA